RNAcentral lists this long non-coding RNA (270 nucleotides) under Mytilus galloprovincialis (Mediterranean mussel). Lineage: Eukaryota; Metazoa; Mollusca; Bivalvia; Mytilida; Mytilidae. The record is from RNAcentral.
UGAAAACUUCAACUCAUCCGAAAUUUCGAGUCAACCGAGUUCGAUACAACGAGAGUUAACUGUAUGUUAUUUUAGAAUAGGCUGGGGUGUUUGGGGUUAAACAUGCUUAAUCCUGUGUCGCUUUGAAGGUGUCAUGAUUGUCAGUCUCAGCUUAAGCAAUGUGUUACUGUAAUUUGAAUUCCAAAAUGACUGAGUGACGUUUUUUCGACCCACUGGUCAACUCCACCAUAGCGAAUCACAUGAUUUAGACAUGAUAAGUAAAUACCAGCG